RNAcentral lists this ribosomal RNA (308 nucleotides) under Thermosynechococcus sp. M98_K2018_005. Its description in RNAcentral is "bacterial SSU rRNA". It matches the Rfam family "Bacterial small subunit ribosomal RNA", at positions 1 to 337 of the family's 1533-position model. The record is from RNAcentral. Lineage: Bacteria; Bacillati; Cyanobacteriota; Cyanophyceae; Acaryochloridales; Thermosynechococcaceae.
AAAAUGGAGAGUUUGAUCCUGGCUCAGGAUGAACGCUGGCGGUCUGCUUAACACAUGCAAGUCGAACGAGCACUUCGGUGCUAGUGGCGGACGGGUGAGUAACACGUGAGAAUCUACCCUCAGGAGGGGGAUAACGGCUGGAAACGGCCGCUAAUACCCCAUAUGCCGCAAGGUGAAAUCUUUUUUGGCCUGAGGAUGAGCUCGCGGUGGAUUAGCUAGUUGGUGGGGUAAUGGCCUACCAAGGCGACGAUCCAUAGCUGGUCUGAGAGGAUGAUCAGCCACACUGGGACUGAGACACGGCCCAGACU